UGUUGACCCAACUACCGUUUCACAAGGAUUGAAAGAUGAGGUUCUCUACAAGUGUAGAAAGUGCAGGCGAUCAUUAUUUCGAAGUUCUAGUAUUCUGGAUCACCGUGAAGGAAGUGGACCUAUAGCCUUUGCCCACAAGAGAAUGACGCCAUCUUCCAUGCUUACCACAGGGAGGCAAGCUCAAUGUACAUCUUAUUUCAUUGAACCUGUACAGUGGAUGGAAUCUGCUUUGUUGGGAGUGAUGGAUGGACAGGUGAGAACACAUUUUAUUUUCUACAAUUUUAUUUUAUGAUCUAUAUUUUAUUCCUUCUUGCAUUUUAAGCUCUAUUUUAACUAGUGUUUUGCUCCAUUUCUUAAUUUCUUUAUUUCUGAAGAUUAUAUCUUUCUAGUGUAGAUAA
RNAcentral lists this small RNA (398 nucleotides) under Pan troglodytes (chimpanzee). Its description in RNAcentral is "retained intron". Lineage: Eukaryota; Metazoa; Chordata; Mammalia; Primates; Hominidae. The record is from RNAcentral.